UACAGAGGGUGCAAGCGUUAAUCGGAAUUACUGGGCGUAAAGCGCGCGUAGGUGGUCUGUUAAGUUGGAUGUGAAAGCCCCGGGCUCAACCUGGGAACUGCAUUCAAAACUGACAAGCUAGAGUAUGGUAGAGGGUGGUGGAAUUCCACGUGUAGCAGUGAAAUGCGUAGAGAUGUGGAGGAACACCAAUGGCGAAGGCAGCCCCCUGGGUCGAUACUGACGCUCAUGCACGAAAGCGUGGGUAGCAAACAGG
RNAcentral lists this ribosomal RNA (253 nucleotides) under uncultured prokaryote. Its description in RNAcentral is "partial 16S ribosomal RNA". It matches the Rfam family "Bacterial small subunit ribosomal RNA", at positions 524 to 776 of the family's 1533-position model. The record is from RNAcentral.